AUUGAACGCUGGCGGCAUGCCUUACACAUGCAAGUCGAACGGCAGCACGGGGGCGAACCCUCGGUGGCGAGUGGCGAACGGGUGAGUAAUGCAUCGGAACGUGUCCUCUUGUGGGGAGUAACCAGUCGAAAGAUUGGCUAAUACCGCAUGAGAUCGAGAGAUGAAAGCGGGGGACCCGAGGGUAACUUCGGGCCUCGCGCGAGAGGAGCGGCCGAUGCCGGAUUAGCUAGUUGGUGGGGUAAGAGCCUACCAAGGCGACGAUCCGUAGCUGGUCUGAGAGGACGACCAGCCACACUGGGACUGAGACACGGCCCAGACUCCUACGGGAGGCAGCAGUGGGGAAUUUUGGACAAUGGGCGCAAGCCUGAUCCAGCCAUGCCGCGUGUGUGAAGAA
RNAcentral lists this ribosomal RNA (394 nucleotides) under uncultured bacterium. RNAcentral's name for it is "bacterial SSU rRNA". It matches the Rfam family "Bacterial small subunit ribosomal RNA", at positions 29 to 412 of the family's 1533-position model. The record is from RNAcentral.